Molecule: ribosomal RNA, 377 nt
Filed under: Gekko kikuchii (Botel gecko)
Lineage: Eukaryota; Metazoa; Chordata; Lepidosauria; Squamata; Gekkonidae
Description: partial 12S ribosomal RNA
Rfam family: Bacterial small subunit ribosomal RNA (bases 41-377)
Source: RNAcentral
UUAACCCUGUCAGACCCCCCACACAACCCCCUGCCCGCCAGAGAACUACGCGCAUCAAGUGUAAAACUCAAAGGACUUGACGGUGUCCCAUAUCGGCCUAGAGGAGCCUGUCCUAUAAUCGAUAACCCCCGCUACACCUCACCCUCUUUCGCCCAGCUCUCAGCCUAUAUACCGCCGUCGCCAGCCUACCUUAUGACAGCACACCAAAGUAGGCAUAAUAAUAACCACCCAUUAAAACGUCAGGUCAAGGUGUAGCUAAUAAGAGGGCACGCGAUGGGCUACAUUUUCUCCAUAUCAGACCCCACCACCAGAGAAAUGAAAACCCCCUACAAGCCGGAUUUAGCAGUAAACUUGGUUAAGCACACCCAGUUGAAGCC